AUGCCGCUUUACUAGCGGAAGCCGGAAGUUGAGGAGGCAGAGCGGAAAGCGAUAGGGGUGCAUCCGGGAGAGCUUGGACGCCACCUCGAAACGCAAGUCUUCCUUCCAGAAACCGGAAACACCUGUCUAAUCAUGGGAAAAACAUCAGACAAAUUCCAGUUAAGGGACAUCUUACAAAAUACUAGACCAGUACUCCUCAAUACUUCCAAUGUCAUCAAAAACAAGAAAACUUUGAGAAAAUGUUGCAGCUAGGAUACAUGCUGACUAAAUGUGAUGUGGUACCUUGAAUAGAAUCCUGGAACAGAAGAAGGACCUUAGGUGAAAGCUCUGAAUGAAGUGUGGACUUAAUGAUGCAUUGACUCUGGUUUAUGAAUUGUGAGAAAUGUCUCAUGGAUGUGCAGCCUCUGGGACCAUCUGUACUGUCUUUGUAAUUUUUCUAUAAAUCUAAAAUACUCUAAAAUAAAAGGGUGUAAUGAAAAAUA
Camelus dromedarius (Arabian camel) is the source of this 482-nucleotide long non-coding RNA. RefSeq lists it as uncharacterized. The record is from RefSeq and is a predicted model, not a curated record. The transcript has 2 exons. NCBI's taxonomy places the organism in Eukaryota, Metazoa, Chordata, Mammalia, Artiodactyla, Camelidae.